UAGAGUUUGAUCCUGGCUCAGAUUGAACGCUGGCGGCAGGCUUAACACAUGCAAGUCGAGCGGUAACAGAGAGUAGCUUGCUACUCUGCUGACGAGCGGCGGACGGGUGAGUAAUGCUUGGGAAUAUGCCUUAUGGUGGGGGACAACAGUUGGAAACGACUGCUAAUACCGCAUAACGUCUACGGACCAAAGGGGGGGAUUCUUCGGAACCUCUCGCCAUUUGAUUAGCCCAAGUGAGAUUAGCUAGUUGGUAAGGUAAAGGCUUACCAAGGCGACGAUCUCUAGCUGGUUUGAGAGGAUGAUCAGCCACAUCGGGACUGAGACACGGCCCGAACUCCUACGGGAGGCAGCAGUGGGGAAUAUUGGACAAUGGGCGAAAGCCUGAUCCAGCCAUGCCGCGUGUGUGAAGAAGGCCCUCGGGUUGUAAAGCACUUUCAGCGAGGAAGAACGCCUAGCGGUUAAUACCCGCUAGGAAAGACAUCACUCGCAGAAGAAGCAUCGGCUAACUCCGUGCCAGCAGCCGCGGUAAUACGGAGGGUGCAAGCGUUAAUCGGAAUUACUGGGCGUAAAGCGCGCGUAGGUGGCUUGAUAAGCCGGUUGUGAAAGCCCCGGGCUCAACCUGGGAACGGCAUCCGGAACUGUCAAGCUAGAGUGCAGGAGAGGAAGGUAGAAUUCCCGGUGUAGCGGUGAAAUGCGUAGAGAUCGGGAGGAAUACCAGUGGCGAAGGCGGCCUUCUGGACUGACACUGACACUGAGGUGCGAAAGCGUGGGUAGCAAACAGGAUUAGAUACCCUGGUAGUCCACGCCGUAAACGAUGUCGACCAGCCGUUGGGUGCCUAGCGCACUUUGUGGCGAAGUUAACGCGAUAAGUCGACCGCCUGGGGAGUACGGCCGCAAGGUUAAAACUCAAAUGAAUUGACGGGGGCCCGCACAAGCGGUGGAGCAUGUGGUUUAAUUCGAUGCAACGCGAAGAACCUUACCAGGGUUUGACAUCCUGCGAACCUCUUAGAAAUUUGAGGGUGCCUUCGGGAAUGCAGUGACAGGUGGUGCAUGGCUGUCGUCAGCUCGUGUCGUGAGAUGUUGGGUUAAGUCCCGCAACGAGCGCAACCCACGUUUUUAGUUGCCAGCAUUUAGUUGGGCACUCUAGAAAGACCGCCGGUGAUAAACCGGAGGAAGGUGUGGAUGACGUCAAGUCAUCAUGCCCCUUACACCCUGGGCUACACACGUACUACAAUGCUACGGACAAAGGGCAGCAAACUCGCGAGAGCUAGCAAAUCCCAUAAACCGUGGCUCAGUUCAGAUCGUAGGCUGCAACUCGCCUACGUGAAGUAGGAAUCGCUAGUAAUCGCAGGUCAGCAUACUGCGGUGAAUACGUUCCCGGGCCUUGUACACACCGCCCGUCACACCAUGGAAGUUGGCCAUGCCCGAAGUCGUUACUCCAACCCUUGUGGAGGAGGACGCCGAAGGUGGGGCUAAUGACUGGGGUGAAGUCGUAACCAAGGUAACC
RNAcentral lists this ribosomal RNA (1507 nucleotides) under uncultured Halomonas sp. RNAcentral's name for it is "partial 16S ribosomal RNA". It matches the Rfam family "Bacterial small subunit ribosomal RNA". Lineage: Bacteria; Pseudomonadati; Pseudomonadota; Gammaproteobacteria; Oceanospirillales; Halomonadaceae. The record is from RNAcentral.